This 71-nucleotide transfer RNA is filed under the name Loxodonta africana (African savanna elephant). It matches the Rfam family "tRNA". Rfam says of the family: Transfer RNA (tRNA) molecules are approximately 80 nucleotides in length. Their secondary structure includes four short double-helical elements and three loops (D, anti-codon, and T loops). Further hydrogen bonds mediate the characteristic L-shaped molecular structure. tRNAs have two regions of fundamental functional importance: the anti-codon, which is responsible for specific mRNA codon recognition, and the 3' end, to which the tRNAs corresponding amino acid is attached (by aminoacyl-tRNA synthetases). tRNAs cope with the degeneracy of the genetic code in two manners: having more than one tRNA (with a specific anti-codon) for a particular amino acid; and 'wobble' base-pairing, i.e. permitting non-standard base-pairing at the 3rd anti-codon position. The record is from Rfam by way of RNAcentral. Lineage: Eukaryota; Metazoa; Chordata; Mammalia; Proboscidea; Elephantidae.
GCAUUGGUGGUUCAGUGGUAGAAUUCUCCCCUUCCAUGCCAGAGGCUCAGGUUUGAUUCCCCACCAAUGCA